This 1014-nucleotide ribosomal RNA is filed under the name Triticum aestivum (bread wheat). Its description in RNAcentral is "partial small subunit ribosomal RNA". The record is from RNAcentral. Lineage: Eukaryota; Viridiplantae; Streptophyta; Magnoliopsida; Poales; Poaceae.
AUGGAGGCGAGCAAGGGAAGCGAUGGGAGCUCGGGCGCCUCGGCGAGCAACGAUGACAGCACGGUGGAGGAGGAAGGAGCGGGCCGUGAAUCGCACGAGGACGUCUGCAGGGGGAACUCUUUGUCGUCCUCGUCGGUGCGCCCCUACGUUCGCUCCAAGAACCCGCGCCUCCGCUGGACGCCGGAGCUCCACCACUGCUUCGUCCGUGCCAUUCAUAGGCUCGGCGGCCAAGAUCGUGCAACUCCGAAGCUCGUUCUUCAGUUGAUGAACGUCAGAGGGCUUAGCAUAGGCCAUGUCAAGAGCCACCUCCAGAUGUAUAGGAGUAAGAAGAUUGAUGACUCAGGCCAGGUCAUAGGUCAUCUCCCCUUGCCCCAUGCCUUCCAUCAUCGCCAGAGUGGUGCGGGCACCAUGUCGUCAAGGUUUGGUGCUGCUGCAUGGCCUCCAUGGAGAAGCUUCCAUGAACCAUACUGGGCCCAUGGUCGCCCCUUCCUUGGAUCGAGGACCUACAACUCUUUAGAAGCUGAAACCGAGGCGGCUUUCCUUCGGUCCCGAGCUCAACAUGUAGCUCGAGCUGCAUCUAGCAAUCCAGGAUUGAUGAUGCAAUCAGGCUGUGCAUCUCUGAACGAUCAUCAUACCAUGAACCACCAGCAUAAACGACUGCUGCAACCGACAGUGCGUAAUGACGACGAUACCCAUGUUCCUCUUGAUCUUGAUCUCGAUCUCGAUCUCUCGCUCGGUCUCCCCGUGCCGAGGAAGGAGGCGAAGUGGAAGAGAUCGGGCUGCAGCUGGGUGAAAGAAGGCCCUGAUGAGAAUGGAGCCGAUGAAGAACAAGUGGAUGAGAUCAGCACUGCCACUAUGCUAUCUCUGUCCUUGUUCUCUCCUGGGGAUGCUCCUCGGAUGAUGAGUAGUACUAGUGCUAGUGAUCGUGCAGUAAAUGUCAGUGUGGAUAUUAAGAGAGGAGGGAAAGAUGAGCAUGCUACAAGGAGGGCAAGUACUCUUGAUCUCACCAUAUGA